Molecule: long non-coding RNA, 924 nt
Filed under: Callithrix jacchus (white-tufted-ear marmoset)
Lineage: Eukaryota; Metazoa; Chordata; Mammalia; Primates; Cebidae
Description: lncRNA (ENSCJAG00000051276.2)
Source: RNAcentral
CGUGGCUGAUUUCUAAGCAUCACUCCUUGUGAAGACCAGGAAGGAAUGUUUUUGCACUCUCACCCUGACUAAAGUGGUCCUCAAGUCAGUCUAGGGUCUGAAGCAUUGAGGACACUCGGGAGGAGUCGUCAGAGGGUCUCAGAGGAAUCUAGCUCAGAAGGAGAGGUUGAGGCAAUCAAGAUGGUUCAUCUCUAUAAAGAGAAGGCUGAGGGGAUACCAAAUGUCUUUCUUUAAAUACCUGAAAUUGUUCUUGAGAGCGACUGGUGAAUAUGCCACUUAAAACCUUGGAUCAAGGACUUUUCUCAGGCACGAGGAAGCACUCCCUCCUCCGGACGGAUGCAAGCACUGGCAUGGAGCCCGCAGGGGACCUGGCUGCCUCUAAGACGUGGUGAGUACGGGGACAGGCCCCAGCUCUGCUGGCUGACCAGGCACAGCCCUACCAUGGAGUGGGUGGACGAGAUGGCCUCCCAUCGGGGCCUGGGAAUCACCUCCUCUGCUGGCCCAGCAGGUUCUCUCCCAUGCUGCUGCUGUGAAAAGAACUACGUACAGACCUAAGAAGCUUAGCAAUAACUUAGUAGGAUAAAUACAAAGAAAACCUGUGCCUAUGCAGAUUACGUGAAAAACCGAAGAUGAAGAUCAAAUCUCGGAAAGCAUAAGCAAAUAAACCUAAAGAGGGCUGGCAAUAUGCAUGCCAGUGACUUCUCAUCAGAAACAAUGAAGGCCAAAAGAUAAUAGAGCAACCCUUAAAAGGGCUGAAAGAAAAAAACAAAAAUGAUGCUAACCCAGAAUUUUGCAUCCAAUAAACAUAUCGCACAAAUAUGGCUACAAAAAUAAAGAUAAAUCUUACAACCAGAAGUUGUAAGAUUUUGUUUCCAGCAGAUCAUCAGUGAAAGAAAUACCAAAGGAUGUGUUUGGGGCUGAAGG